Molecule: long non-coding RNA, 216 nt
Filed under: Lathyrus oleraceus (garden pea)
Lineage: Eukaryota; Viridiplantae; Streptophyta; Magnoliopsida; Fabales; Fabaceae
Description: Pisum sativum (pea) long non-coding RNA (PSAT_LNC008749)
Source: RNAcentral
UUUGCACAAAAGUUUUGGCUUGGGUUAGAGUGGAGGGAAGAAGAAGAAUGGCUAAGGUCCUAAACAUACAAGAGAUAAGGGAGAAGAAAUAAGACCACAAAUGGAGUUCCUCUCUUGAGAUCAUAUUGAUGAUCCAAGUAGCUCUCAUCCUUUGGAAUAUACAAGCAAAAUAAUAGUAAGCUCAAGCAAUCAACAAUCAAUUAAGCUCUUGGAAAG